UAUCACCUUCACAAUCUGACAAUAGUAAUCGAUCCAUCGAUGAGGAAUUAUUGGAAUGUUCACCAAGGUAUGUAGCAUUGAAGGAUCUCUUUCUACCACGAGAAGAAAUCAAACUCACUAUAACGAAUCAUCGACACGCAUCUAUAUACGAAUUUUCUCUGGCACCUAAUUACAGCUGCGAGGACGGGAGUUAUCUUGAAAAUCGUGACGAUGAAUACGAAUACUCAGAGAGAACGGGAGAAGAAUCUUACAUUAAACCAAAACGUUUCGAUUUUUACAAUAUCGACAGAAACGGGACAUAUUGUGACCUCGAUCAGGAUGAUUACGAGAGGAACGAGACUGAUUUACAUUCGCAAUCAAUUCGCAGGAUCAAUUCGAACGGAAUUAUUUAAAAAUAUGAAUCAGAU
RNAcentral lists this long non-coding RNA (407 nucleotides) under Polistes dominula (European paper wasp). Its description in RNAcentral is "uncharacterized LOC107064080, transcript variant X1". The record is from RNAcentral. Lineage: Eukaryota; Metazoa; Arthropoda; Insecta; Hymenoptera; Vespidae.